RNAcentral lists this transfer RNA (105 nucleotides) under Pythium insidiosum. RNAcentral describes it as "tRNA-Thr". It matches the Rfam family "tRNA". From Rfam's summary of the family: Transfer RNA (tRNA) molecules are approximately 80 nucleotides in length. Lineage: Eukaryota; Oomycota; Peronosporomycetes; Pythiales; Pythiaceae. The record is from RNAcentral.
CCGGGCGUAGCUCAGUUGGUAGAGCGAUUGACUUGUAGUGGUUGAUAUCGUCCUGCGAUAUCCUCAGAAAUCAAUUGGUCACCAGUUCGAUUCUGGUCGCCCGGA